AAAGUCGUAACAAGGUUUCCGUAGGUGAACCUGCGGAAGGAUCAUUAUGAAUUUGAACUUGUGUGGCUGGCUGUUCGACCUUGUGUUGAACGCCCCUCACAAUUCUUUUUCUGUGAACUGUUCUCGGACUCUCUUUUUUUUUAAUUAAAAAAAAGAGUCUGGGUUACUUUUUUUGUUUUCUUGUAUUAUUCCACUUUAUAUUUCGAGUAAUUCUUGCAAAAGAAUGAAACAAAUACAAAAACCAAGACAACUUUCAGCAAUGGAUCUCUUGGCUCUU
This 277-nucleotide unclassified non-coding RNA is filed under the name fungal sp. RNAcentral's name for it is "partial contains small subunit ribosomal RNA, internal transcribed spacer 1, and 5.8S ribosomal RNA". The stretch from base 1 to 47 matches the Rfam family "Eukaryotic small subunit ribosomal RNA", at positions 1785 to 1831 of the family's 1831-position model. Lineage: Eukaryota; Fungi. The record is from RNAcentral.